GUAGGGAAUAUUGCACAAUGGGCGAAAGCCUGAUGCAGCAACGCCGCGUGCGCGAUGAAGGCCUUCGGGUCGUAAAGCGCUUUUCGGGGAGACGAGGAAGGACGGUAUCCCCGGAAUAAGGAUCGGCUAACUACGUGCCAGCAGCCGCGGUAAAACGUAGGAUCCGAGCGUUAUCCGAAUUCACUGGGCGUAAAGCGCGUGCAGGCGGCUCUAUAAGUUGGAUGUGAAAUCUCCUGGCUCAACUAGGAGAGGCCGUUCAAUACUGUAGGGCUAGAGGGCAGUAGAGGGAGGUGGAAUUCCCGGUGUAGUGGUGAAAUGCGUAGAUAUCGGGAGGAACACCAGUGGCGAAGGCGGCCUCCUGGACUGUACCUGACGCUCAGACGCGAAAGCUAGGGGAGCGAACGGGAUUAGAUACCCUGGUAGUCC
RNAcentral lists this ribosomal RNA (426 nucleotides) under uncultured bacterium. Its description in RNAcentral is "bacterial SSU rRNA". It matches the Rfam family "Bacterial small subunit ribosomal RNA", at positions 354 to 796 of the family's 1533-position model. The record is from RNAcentral.